CUGAUGCACCCGAGUUUUCCAUUGAUGAUGAAAUGCUCUGAUGAAUCCCUGGAGUUACAGCUGAACUCAGAAGAAGGAAUAGCAGAAAAAGGAAACACAGAACCACACUGCAAAGAGCAAUUGCAGAAACCCAGGCACACCACUACCAAGGUCAUGCUAAGCUAAAUGCACACUCACAUUUUUCUUAGAUGUGUCUGUCUGCUACAGUAAGAGCAGAAUGAACAAAAGACUGAGAUGAUCUUUACAUGGGAUGGCACGAAGAGCAGGGAGCCCUGCAUGGCAAAGCCCUGAGCAAGCACAGAGAAGGAAGAGUACAGGCAUUGUGCCAACAGCAGUGCAGGAUAUGAGGGAGAUUUGGGCCCUACACGGUGAAGAUUCAUGUAUCACUCAUCACUCCAUGUGCCUCCUGGAGCCCAGAGAGACCUGGCCUUUCAACUUGACUUGCUUUUGCGGCUCUGCAUUCCAAAACUGAUCACAAAGCCUUGUGGUAGAUUUCAGUCCUGCAGAAUUGAGCCUAUUACACCUGGGCUACCCAGAGACUGACUCCAGGUACAUUUAUGUCACCAUUGGCCAGCAGAGGCAAGUGCCUCACCCAACAACCACAUAGCUGCCAAAGGCCCUGUGAGCUGUGCAUGAGCUCUUAUCCCUCAUCUCAGCAGGCUUGUUAUUAUCUCAGGCUGAGGGCUGUGCUAAACGCAGAUGCACGGAUUCCUCUUCACCACUGAGGAGCAUCCAGCUGGCCCACCACCAGGGAGCUGGUGCUUGCCUGGAAAACACAAUGCAGAAUAUCAGCAAAACAUUACAUUGGUUUUGAAAACUCAUUCCAAGUGGGAUAAAAAAUGCCAGUUUAAAGAUAAAGCCAGGAAAGUCUGGUCUCCAGCCCGUAAGAUAUUUAACCUUUCUUCAUUCUUGAGCAUUAAGCAUCCCACACACUUUCAGUGAUAAUAAUAACAGCAUCAGCAAUAAUAAUAAUAGGAAAGCAAGAUCUGAAACAAAAGCAGAGCUGAAUGCAAAAUGCUUAGGAGGUGUUAAGUUUCAUGCUGAAAAUUAUGCACCUAAAAGGUACAAUUUAGGAAAUCAUACUUAACCAGCAGGAAUAAAAAAAGAUGAACUCUUCAUGAAAAGUAAGGAUAGAGCAAUUCUGAAAAGUCUUUUGUCACUGAAACUACAAAGGUGAAUGAUGAAUCAGCUUGUGGCAUGGCAUUAGAAUGAAACAUAUCUUCCCUGUAAAAAUGGUUUUUAUUCAAGUCAAAAAUACAAUCAUUGCGUUACAUUUCAUGGGGAUCUCAGUUCUAAGGAAAAAAAUAUAUAUAUAUAUUUAAAUUUUAAAAAUAUAUAUAUAUUUUUCUUUUUCCUUGAAAAAAAAAAACUUUUAACGGAAGUAACUUCUUCAAAUAAGCAAAAGGCUUGUGGACACUUCCACAAAAGAUAAUGCUCAUAUAAUUUAUGAACAUGAAUAUUAUAGCAAUAAAAAAAGGAAGUGGUUCAAAAGAUGGACAUUAGCACCGCCUCCCCUUUUCACACAACUCAAAGCAUGCUUUAUUGUAUUGAAACUAGUCAAGUAGCAAUAGAAAGAUACUGAUAACAAAUAUAAGCAAUUCUCUGACUAUAAUCCCACAUCGUGCAGAGGAAAUCAUCUUUCAUCAGUCAGGAAGUUUGCAAAGCUGUAUCCCUGUUGCUGCAGGAACUUCACAGACGAGAUUCUCAGCUGGCAUAAAAGUUUGUCACUGCCUCCAUCUCAAAGGAACUACCCCAGUUUACAUCCAGAGAAGCUCUGAGCCCUUAUUUAUUGUGACUAUUUGUCUCUUUUAGUACUUCCAUUACUGUCUGCAUGAAGCACCAGAUUAGCCAGGCAUCUCUAUCUGGCAGGAUAAAUACACUUGUAGCUGAUGUAUCUGUGAGGAAGGGCAGAUGUUUUUCUGGAGACCUGCUCCCAGAGACUGUAUUAGUUUAUGGAGAAGUCUGCUGGUCCUAAUUUAGGGGACAGUUAACUUUUGGGUCAGCCUUCAGGUGUUUAGUAGCAGGAGCAGCAAACAAGGAACCAGGUGAGGCUCCACUGAUAGAAGUGCUUGUCAUCAGCCAAAUGGGGGCUAAUUGCAAGCAAACUGGACAGCCCUCAAGCAACACCUGAAAUAUGCUAGAACCAACAUCAAAAGAAAAUCCUAUCAGAUCCCUAACUGAUACCAAGCAGACAAAAAGAAAAACAACAACAAAAAAAAUCACAUGGAAUUAAUUCAAAGUCCUGAUAGGAAAUUUGUAAUUAGCAGAGACAAAUAUAUAGUUGUGUGAGAGCCAAAGGUUAGAAGAGGCAGGUUACUGAUCCUUCCCCUGCUAAAG
This is a long non-coding RNA of Cygnus olor (mute swan), 2337 nucleotides long. RefSeq lists it as uncharacterized. NCBI's taxonomy places the organism in Eukaryota, Metazoa, Chordata, Aves, Anseriformes, Anatidae. The transcript is spliced from 3 exons. The record is from RefSeq and is a predicted model, not a curated record.